GGUUCAUUCAAAUUUCUGCCUAUCAACUUUCGAUGGCAGGUCUUGGCCUGCCAUGGUUACAACGGGUAACGGAGGGUUAGGGCUCGACCCCGGAGAAGGAGCCUGAGAAACGGUAACUACAUCCAAGGAAGGCAGAGGGCGCAAAUUUACCCAAUCCCGACCGGGGAGGUAGUGACAAUAAAUACUGAUACAGGGCUCUUUUGGGUCUUGUAAUUGGAAUGAGUAAAUUUUAAAUCCCUUAACGAGGAACAAUUGGAGGGCAAGUCUGGUGCCAGCAGCCGCGGUAAUCCCAGCUCCAAUAGCGUAUAUUAAAGUUGUUGCCAGUAAAAAGCUCGUAGUUG
This 341-nucleotide ribosomal RNA is filed under the name uncultured fungus. RNAcentral describes it as "SSU rRNA". It matches the Rfam family "Eukaryotic small subunit ribosomal RNA", at positions 292 to 636 of the family's 1831-position model. Lineage: Eukaryota; Fungi. The record is from RNAcentral.